This 987-nucleotide long non-coding RNA is filed under the name Ananas comosus (pineapple). RNAcentral's name for it is "long non-coding RNA (ACOM_LNC015245)". The record is from RNAcentral. Lineage: Eukaryota; Viridiplantae; Streptophyta; Magnoliopsida; Poales; Bromeliaceae.
CCCGCUCAAAUAACUAGUACCCAAAUCAUGCGAAAGUAAGGAAGUGUCCUUCACUACUAACUCCCGAUGUUACGUUGUCGGCCGCUAACGUAACCUUCCGCGAAGUUAGAAGCUAUACACUCCAAUCAAACUCUAACUUUUUAGAUUUAUAUAAAUACCCAAUCACAAUACUUUCGCUCACAAAUUAAAUAGACCUCGUCUCUCACUAGCCUAUUUCCUAUUGUCCAACCGGCCUAAGAUUUGCUAGGUCCACUAAGACUCAACCUUAGGCUCUGAUACCAAAUUAAUCUGUCACGCCCCGAGACCCGGCCUAGGCCCGCCCGGUACGUGCCCAGACCCGCCAUAUGCCUACACAUAUAAGGCGUCUACAACAAUAGCGAAUAAAUGAACAAUAAAUAGAGUGUAUCUAGAGAUAUCAAAGUAAGUAUAUAGCUAGGUUCUAACAAUAGGUAGAAACAAGGGAAACUAAACCAGUAAAGAAAAACGUAAAAUAAUACAUUAUAAGUCUCAAGCUACAUAUAGGGGGUGGUUUCUACAAAAAUGGUAGAAGUCUCUCAACCUCUCCAAACAAAACUCAGAAGAGAGGUAGACUACCUAUCGUCGAAUUCCUCGCUAGCUAACUCGAGGCGAUUCCUUUCCUGCGAUCCUGAGCCUCUCCCGGGGUGGAAGGCUCUGAAAGAAAACAUAAAACAGGGGGGCGUGAGAACUAUAAUUUAUAGUUCCCAGUGGGCAAUUACUGACCAUAGCCAAAUGCACCACUAGGCCCAAAACAUGAGCAGAUAAGAGAGUAACGAAAAGUAACUGCGGAAAGUAAAAGCAUAUAAUGAAAUGCUAUUCUAUUAUGCCACAAGUAUACAUGAUGUCAACAUGGUGUACAUCUACUCUAUCCUGAUCCAAUAUGCCAAUACAUACAUACUAUGUUCUAUCAUGGCUACCAAGUAUGCUAUGAUGCAACAAGUAAUACUAUCACGUAUACUACAUGUCCAA